CCUACGGGUGGCAGCAGUGGGGAAUAUUGCGCAAUGGGCGAAAGCCUGACGCAGCGACGCCGCGUGAGGGAUGAAGGUCUUCGGAUCGUAAACCUCUGUCAGCAGGGAAGAACGGUCACUGUGCUAAUCAGCAGUGAAUUGACGGUACCUGCAAAGGAAGCACCGGCUAACUCCGUGCCAGCAGCCGCGGUAAUACGGAGGGUGCGAGCGUUAAUCGGAAUUACUGGGCGGAAAGCGCUCGUAGGCGGUAUGUCAAGUCAAGGGUGAAAUCCCCGCGCUCAACGUGGGAACUGCCUUUGAAACUGGCAAACUGGAGUGUGUGAGAGGAUAGUGGAAUUCCAGGUGUAGGGGUGAAAUGCGUAGAUAUCUGGAGGAACAUCAGUGGCGAAGGCGACUAUCUGGCACAUAACUGACGCUGAGGAGCGAAAGCGUGGGUAGCAAACAGGAUUAGAUACCCGGGUAGUC
This 465-nucleotide ribosomal RNA is filed under the name uncultured bacterium. Its description in RNAcentral is "partial 16S ribosomal RNA". It matches the Rfam family "Bacterial small subunit ribosomal RNA", at positions 338 to 795 of the family's 1533-position model. The record is from RNAcentral.